GAGCCAGCCUGCCCGGCUUCCUCUCUCCCUAACCCCAGCUACGUGGCUUCAGGCAGCUGCUUAACCUUUCUGGACUCAGCUUCCUAAUCUGGAAAUAGAGAUAGUAAAAGCACCUGCUUUAUGGGAGUGUGGUGGGGGUUAAAUGAGAUAAUAUAUGCAAAACACAUAGAAACAGGGCCCACCACAUAGCCAGUGUUCCCCAUUACUAUUAGUAUUGUUCAAGGCCAUUCAGGUAGGAGGGGGAACAGCAGAGUUUUCUACAGACCGCAUGGGGCUGGCCCCUGCCUCCUCCCAGCUCACCUUGGCCCUGAGUAGGAUCAGACCUACUGAUCGGGGCUGACGAAGAAGGAACUGUGCAUCACCACCAGGGCUGUUCUUUGCUGCAAGCACGUUACAUAUUGUGGCAUGCUGUGUUUUCCCCUCGUGGUGCAAGAUGUUGACUCAGAGGGGCAUUCUGGGGAAAUGAGUUUCUUGGAUUUGCCCACCUCAUUGCCCCUGUGUUCUUUUGAAUGUCUCUGAAUCAGACUUUAUAUCUAGCUCUACCAUUCAGCAACCUUAUUUAUGCAGAAAACAACCCCACAUUUCCAACUUGCUCAGCAGCUGUAAAGAUUCAUCUUUGGCCCCGGGGAGGGUAGCAAAGGAGGGAAGGAUAAAAAGAAAAAGGAAAGAAAGAAAGAAAAAGGAAGAAAGAAAGCAAGCCAGCAACAAUCCAAACAACCCUUUUCUCCCUGUGUAAUCUGGGCAGCUUCCAGGAGGAUAAUGUCUUUCCACCUCAGCAGAUGUUUGCUGAGCACCUGCUAUGUGCCAGAUCCUGUGCUUGUGGGAGGACCCAGUGGAGAGCCACAGCCAUGUGUUUACCCGCAGCCUUUGGGGAGCAAGAGAGAAAACAAAGCAAACAAGUAAGAAAAACGUCCUGUGAUAUAUAUGCAAAGGUGGUCAGCAGGCUGAAGCCAACCCCGUGUGGUACCUGCUCCCACUGCUUCUGAGGAAAGGAAGGUGAUGUUGUAAACUAUGCACUGACUCUUAAAGACCUACCUGCCUGGGAGUGACUUCGGUCACUUCUGCUCUUGUCUCAUUGGCCAAAGCAAGUCACUCGGCCUGCUGACAUUCAAAGCCAGCUAGAGGUGCAAUCAUACCAUAAGCCUGGAGGAAGAGGGGAGCUGAAAUCUGCACGAGCAGCCCCAUGAGCGCCAUGACAGGCAACCGCAGCAAACAGUGAGGCCAAAACAAGGGAACCUGACUAGAGCUUAUUUCUGGAGCCCAUACAUUGAGGAGCAAUCACAGGCCUGAUUCUUGCUGAUGGAAAGUCACCAGAAGUGAGGUACCACCACUGGUCCAAGGCAGUUAAAAGCAGAUGUUUCUCUGUCACACAUUCCACUGAAGAGCUGCCCUCCCUGACAGUCAAUUUCCCUCCUUUCCUUCCUAACAUCCUGCUGCCACCAAGGAAGCCCUUUGUCCAUUGUGCUGCCUUAGUGGGAGAGAGGGUUCAGAGGAGAAUCAAAUUUCCUUUCCGCAUCUGUUUGCUGGCACCCGGUGCACCCUGGGAGGCUAACACAAAGUGACAGAUGAGCUUCGAUUGGCUGGAAUGUGUGGAGAACCACUGGACCAGGCAAAAGAAAGCAUCGGAAAUGAGCCAGGGAAGAGGAAAGAGGCUUCACUUCAUGAAAGCCUGAACAGAAUCCAGUCCAAACCGGCCACCACACCCGGAUGAGGUGCUCUGCAGUGCUCAAAGUGAUUCGCAUCCGUUAUCUCCCAGGACCUGCAGUCAGGCCUGCACAGCAGACUCGUGUGAGGUUGCCAAGCCCCGAGUGAGCUACCCCUCAAAUGCCUCUUGUGCUCAUUCCUUCUUCUCCAUUCCCUGCCACUGCCCUUUUCAUCUCUUUCAGGGAGAUUGGAACCCUGUCCCCAGCCCUUGCCCUCCUGUCCCUUCUUGCUACCUGAGUGAUCUUUCUGCACCACAAAUUUGUUCAACCUACAGUUGACUUCACAGCCUCCAAUGGACCCACCUCUGCAUUCGAGGAUUGAUGCCUCUCUUUACAAGCUUCUUUCCAGUAGUUUCCACCCUAUCCCCCAUCUUCCAGCCCCGUGGAGGCGAUGAUGUGCUUUCUGAAUGUACCAAACACUGUCAGGAUCCAUGUCUGUACUCCUGCUAUGAACUCAGCCUGGACCCCUGGCCUCUCUUGCUGGCUGACUCCUAUCCUUCCUUUAAAACCCAGUUCAGCAUCACCCACUUUGGGGGCCCCUGCCCAUCUAGCUGCCAGUGUUUCCACUGUGCUCUUCCUGAAAGCUGUUGUCUUCCUUAGCGUCUGAUGAUCCGGCUUGGUCCUUGGCGCCCCUACCUCCUCUACUGCAUUGGGACCUUUUCAAGACCAGCGCCAUGCUUCCUUACCACCAUAUCCCCCCACCCUGCAUGGUUCUGGCACCUGCUAGGUGCUCAGUUGGUGUUGGUGAAAUUGAGUUUACAGGUAAGGAAGGAUAAAGGGACUCAGAGAGGUCAGUGACUGGCCAAGUACCAGGUAUCUGGUAAGAAGCCCAGUAAGUAACUCUCUCCUGUCACCAUGUCUCCCUGCAUCUCUGCUUGCUCUGGGGUCUCAGCACCACCCACAGCCCACAAACUGCCUCCCUAUUUCCAGCAUUCCACAUGUCUUUUUCUUCCAAAACCUUCCUUCCUUCUCCAUGUCUCCUCCAGCAGCUGCUCAACAGCCUUGGACCAGUAGGGCCAUUGGACAGCCUCGAUCUGGAAGAUUGGGGCUCAGGGAGAACCAGGUUCCAAACCAUGGAAAACUCCAUGUUUCUUCCUUCCCAUGAGACAUUUUUCUAAAUAAACAAGGUUCUCAAAGUUGCAAUAAAUAACCACUCAUCCAGGCAAGCUCAUGCUUAGGUGUUUUACACUAAGAAUCGAGGGAGCCAUAGUGAAGACCAGAAUUUUCACCCCCACAACCAGGGCAGGUGCCAACUCCCCCACCGCAAAAUUAUGUCCACCUGGAAGCUCAGAAUGGGACAUUACAUGGAAUUAUAUCUUUGUAGAUGUAAUCAGUGUUAGGAUGUUGAGAUGAGCUCAUCCUGGGCUGUAAAUCCAAGGGCAGGUGUCCUUACAAGAGAGAAAGGAGACAAUGCACAGAGGCACAGGAGAGAAAGCCGCGGGAGGAUCCCCGUGAGGACAGGCAGAGGGUGGAGCGAUGGGUCUUCAAGCCAAGGAACACCAAGAAGUUCUGACAGCGAUGGGCAGCCAGGAGACAGGCCUGGGGCAGAUUCUCUCAGAGCCUCCAGAAGGAACCAAUCCUCCUGACCUGCUGAUUUCAGACUUCUGGUCUCUAGAGUUCUGAGAGAACAAAUUUCUCUUGCUUUAAGCCACCCAAUUUGUGGUCAUGUGUUACUUAGGCACCCUAGGAAAUGACUCCAACCAGGCAGUGUGAAGCCCCCGCAGGGUCACAGGGAGCAGGAGGCUGGGGACACCUCGCCCCUCCCCAUCAUGUGUGGGCACCCCACUCAGCAUCUCACCCCAGAACCUCUAAGCUUCUCUCAGUCUCUUGCUACCCUCCGGCUGCUGCCAGCCCACCCAUCCCCCUCUCCUUGGUGUCUCCAUCCCAGGCCACACACAGCCUCCGUUUGUUCCAUGCCCUGCAGCCUGAGCUGCACCACGUCCCUCUGCUCGGUAGUCCUUCCAUUUCUGUUACGUAUGAUGACCAGCCAACUCUCUCAGCACAUUUAAGCUUUCCAAAGAUGAUCUAAUGAUGGCUAACUAUUCUUACCCCUGAUGGGUGAAGAUUUCACUCCAGGCCAGCUCACAGGCAGUAGCCCCGGGUCCCACUCACCUUGGAAGAUGAGCUUGUCCACUGUGGCCAGUGAGGCAGGUCACAUGUUCCAGCAUGGGGAGGGAGACUCUGAGCAGGCAGGACAGAUGGCCAGAGGCAACCCCAGGUUGGUGACACCUUCACCAUGGAGACGAAACUUUCUGCAGAAUUGAAUAAUAUGCAGUAGGAAGGGGAAAGGGAAAAGGGAAGAAGCACUCUUUUAAAGGUAAGAAGGAAAGUGUCAAUAACUGAAGCUUUUGAAAAGUCAAAAUUGCAGCCCACUUGCCAUCCUUUCCAGAGGACAGCUGUCUUUAAUGAGCUGCUCAGAAGUGCACAUUGCUCUGGGUCAGUGUGACAGCUAUUGGUGGCGGAUGGAGUAGAUUAAGAGAGGGUGGGCAGGAGAGGUGGGCUGCCAGGGGUAUUGGCAGAGGGUAUGGGACAAUGGCUCUGGUGCGUUGGGCUGCUUUUACUAUAAUCCCACUCCCUGAAUGCUUCCUGCAUGCAGCACUAUGCUAAAGACAUUGUCCAGACAUCCUGUCAUUCACUCUCCCCCUGGUCCUGGGGGUGGGUGUCAGUGUAGAGCUUGUACGGAUCAGGGAAUGCAGGUGUGAAUGUCCGAAGUCACAGACAAGUAGGUGAUGGAGUCAGGAUUUGAGGUCAGGUCCGAGGGAGCUAAAGACACAUCCGAGUGUGCCACGCUUCUGAUGUGGAGCCUGGGAUAUUGUGGGGACAAGUGGUGAUAUUUGAAUAUGGAAUCCAGCAGAUAGUUUGUUAUCAGUGUUAAAUUUUCUGAUUUUGAUAACUAUUCUAUGGAAAUGUAGGAGAAGUUCUUAUUCUUAAGAAAUACACACUGAUGUAUUUAAGAGUAAUAGAGACCAACUUACUCUCAAAUAGUUAAAGAAGAAAAACAGAAUGACAAAGUGAAUAGGACAAAAUGAAGCCACUGGAGAACCUGAGGGAGGGGAUCAGAGAGUAAGCAGGGGAUCCUUGACUAUCCUCACACUCUUUGCAUUUGAAAGAAUAUUAAAAUUAAAAUUGUAAAGACAAUUCUACAGCCCUAGCUCUUUUUAUUUUUUAAAGCAGCUUUAUUGAGGUAUAAUUUCCAUACAUAAACUGCACAUUUUCUAAGUGUAUGCUUUGAUAAGUUUUGACAUAUGUAUAUACCCAGAAAGUCAUCACACCAUCAAGAAAGUGAACAUACCCAUCACACCCAAAAUUCUCCUCCUGCUCCUUUGUAACUAUUCCCUAUCACCCCCUUCCCACCCCCACCCCCAGUCCCAGGAAACUGCCUUCUGUUGCUAUAGAUUAAUUUGCAUUUCCUAGAAUUUUAUAUAAAUGGUAUCAUAUAGUAUGUACUCUUUUUUUUUGGUCUGGCUUCUUUCACUUGCAUAAGUAUUUUGAUUUUUCUCCAUGUUACAGUAUGUAUCAGUAGCUAAUUGCUUUUGUGGCUGAGUAGUAUUCCAUCGAAUGGACAUACCACUGUUUAGUCAUUCCUCUGCCGAUGGAUAUUUGGGCUGUUUUCAGUUUUUGAUGAUUAUGAAUA
Manis pentadactyla (Chinese pangolin) is the source of this 5337-nucleotide long non-coding RNA. RefSeq lists it as uncharacterized. The transcript has 6 exons. NCBI's taxonomy places the organism in Eukaryota, Metazoa, Chordata, Mammalia, Pholidota, Manidae. The record is from RefSeq and is a predicted model, not a curated record.